This 492-nucleotide ribosomal RNA is filed under the name uncultured bacterium. RNAcentral's name for it is "partial 16S ribosomal RNA". It matches the Rfam family "Bacterial small subunit ribosomal RNA", at positions 29 to 507 of the family's 1533-position model. The record is from RNAcentral.
AGUGAACGCUGGCGGCAUGCCUAACACAUGCAAGUCGAACGGCAGCACAGUAAGUUCUUGCUGUUACCGAUUGGCGAACGCGUGCGUGUUACGUAUACAUCGGACCCUUCUUUUUCGUGGGGCAUAACGAAGCGGAACUUACGCCAAUACCGCAUACCGCCUACGAGUGAGAGCAGUGGAUCUUUGGAGCUUGCGGGAUUGAAUGAGCCGCUGUCGGAUUAGCUAGUUGGCGGGGUAAAGGCCCACCAAGGCGAGGAUCCGUAGCUGGUCUGAGAGGAUGAUCGGCCACACUGGAACUGAGACACGGUCCAGACUCCUACGGGAGGCAGCAGUGGGGAAUAUUGGACAAUGGGCGCAAGCCUGAUCCAGCCAUACCGCGUGGGUGAAGAAGGCCUUCGGGUUGUAAAGCCCUUUUGUUGGGAAAGAAAAGCUUCAGGUUAAUACGCCGCUGGUCUGACGGUACCGAAAGAAUAAGCACCGGCUAACUACGUG